This 1344-nucleotide ribosomal RNA is filed under the name Escherichia coli. Its description in RNAcentral is "bacterial SSU rRNA". It matches the Rfam family "Bacterial small subunit ribosomal RNA", at positions 85 to 1425 of the family's 1533-position model. The record is from RNAcentral. Lineage: Bacteria; Pseudomonadati; Pseudomonadota; Gammaproteobacteria; Enterobacterales; Enterobacteriaceae.
UCGCUGACGAGUGGCGGACGGGUGAGUAAUGUCUGGGAAACUGCCUGAUGGAGGGGGAUAACUACUGGAAACGGUAGCUAAUACCGCAUAACGUCGCAAGACCAAAGAGGGGGACCUUCGGGCCUCUUGCCAUCGGAUGUGCCCAGAUGGGAUUAGCUUGUUGGUGGGGUAACGGCUCACCUAGGCGACGAUCCCUAGCUGGUCUGAGAGGAUGACCAGCCACACUGGAACUGAGACACGGUCCAGACUCCUACGGGAGGCAGCAGUGGGGAAUAUUGCACAAUGGGCGCAAGCCUGAUGCAGCCAUGCCGCGUGUAUGAAGAAGGCCUUCGGGUUGUAAAGUACUUUCAGCGGGGAGGAAGGGAGUAAAGUUAAUACCUUUGCUCAUUGACGUUACCCGCAGAAGAAGCACCGGCUAACUCCGUGCCAGCAGCCGCGGUAAUACGGAGGGUGCAAGCGUUUAAUCGGAAUUACUGGGCGUAAAGCGCACGCAGGCGGUUUGUUAAGUCAGAUGUGAAAUCCCCGGGCUCAACCUGGGAACUGCAUCUGAUACUGGCAAGCUUGAGUCUCGUAGAGGGGGGUAGAAUUCCAGGUGUAGCGGUGAAAUGCGUAGAGAUCUGGAGGAAUACCGGUGGCGAAGGCGGCCCCCUGGACGAAGACUGACGCUCAGGUGCGAAAGCGUGGGGAGCAAACAGGAUUAGAUACCCUGGUAGUCCACGCCGUAAACGAUGUCGACUUGGAGGUUGUGCCCUUGAGGCGUGGCUUCCGGAGCUAACGCGUUAAGUCGACCGCCUGGGGAGUACGGCCGCAAGGUUAAAACUCAAAUGAAUUGACGGGGGCCCGCACAAGCGGUGGAGCAUGUGGUUUAAUUCGAUGCAACGCGAAGAACCUUACCUGGUCUUGACAUCCACAGAACUUUCCAGAGAUGGAUUGGUGCCUUCGGGAACUGUGAGACAGGUGCUGCAUGGCUGUCGUCAGCUCGUGUUGUGAAAUGUUGGGUUAAGUCCCGCAACGAGCGCAACCCUUAUCCUUUGUUGCCAGCGGUCCGGCCGGGAACUCAAAGGAGACUGCCAGUGAUAAACUGGAGGAAGGUGGGGAUGACGUCAAGUCAUCAUGGCCCUUACGACCAGGGCUACACACGUGCUACAAUGGCGCAUACAAAGAGAAGCGACCUCGCGAGAGCAAGCGGACCUCAUAAAGUGCGUCGUAGUCCGGAUUGGAGUCUGCAACUCGACUCCAUGAAGUCGGAAUCGCUAGUAAUCGUGGAUCAGAAUGCCACGGUGAAUACGUUCCCGGGCCUUGUACACACCGCCCGUCACACCAUGGGAGUGGGUUGCAAAAGAA